RNAcentral lists this transfer RNA (81 nucleotides) under Sphaerobolus stellatus. RNAcentral's name for it is "tRNA-Ser". The record is from RNAcentral. Lineage: Eukaryota; Fungi; Basidiomycota; Agaricomycetes; Geastrales; Sphaerobolaceae.
GGAAUAGUCGUCAUUGGUAAGAUAAGACAAUUGCUAAUUGUUCGAGUAAUACUCUUAGGUGUUCGACUCACCUCUAUUCCG